RNAcentral lists this non-coding RNA (21 nucleotides) under Caenorhabditis elegans. The record is from RNAcentral. Lineage: Eukaryota; Metazoa; Nematoda; Chromadorea; Rhabditida; Rhabditidae.
UUGUGCAGACCGAGUGAGAGU